UUUCAUUUAUUUUCAGCUGCGGGUCUUCGUUGCUGCAGGAGGGCUUUCUCUAGUUGUGGCGAACAGUUCUCUAGCUGCAGUGUGCGGGCUUCUCGCUGUGGUGGCUCCAUGCAGAGCAUGGGCUCUAGCAGCUCAGGCUUUUGUAGUUGCGGCACAUGCGUUGAGUUGCUCCACAGCACGUGGUAUCUUUCUGAGCCAGGCGUCGAAUUUGUGUCAUCUGCAUGGGCAGGUGGAUUCUUAACCACUGGACCACCAGGGAAGUAAGUCCCAGGGCCCUCAAAACCCACUUAUGAUGGGAAAAAAAAAAUCUCCAGAAAGUGGGCAUAGGGGGAACCUGCCUCCACGUAAUAAAGAGCAUAUAUGACCAACUUCCCUGGUGGCUCAGACGGUAGAGUCUGCCUGCAGUGCUGGAGACCCGGGUUCAAUCCCCUGGAGAAGGAAAUGGCAACCCACUCCAGUAUUCUCGCCUGAGAAUCCCCUCGAUGGAAGAACCUGGCGGGCUACAGUCCAUGGGGUCGCAAAGAAUCAGACACGACUGAGCAACUUCACUUCACUUUCACGACAAACCCACAGUUAACAUCAUUCUCAAUGGUGAAAAGCUGAGAUCAUUUCCCUCUAAGAUCACGAACAAGACAAGGAUGUCCACUCUCACUGAGGCAGAAGUUAUAAUGAGCCCCAGGCUGAGCAGCUGGAAUCUGUCCUCUGUGAACAGAUACACCAGGAUAAAGAUAAUGGCAGCAGCAAGGAGGAGCUGAGUCCUUUCUGGAGAGAAGAAAAAGGGACCACACAUUUCUCAGUCUUGAGGUCAAGGAGACCUCCCAAACUACACAUACACAGAAAGGUUCCUCAGAGGUCAAGGAAAGCAGGGAGCACCAGACCAUAAUAUGUUCUUUUUCCCAGAAACCGUUGCACUGGAAUCCAUCUUGGCUAAAAGGUGUGCAAGCAGGAGGAGAGGACCCUGAGGUGGAUCAGACAUGGACUCAGAGCUAGACAAGGCAAGAUGACUGGCCAGAGGGAACCCAGAACCGACCCACAUGAUCUAGGGUCUUGAAACUGGCCACCGGCCCUCCUGGUCUAGUGGCGAGGAUUCGGUGCUCUCACUACCGCAGCCUGGCUUCAGUCCCUGGUUGGGGAACUGAGAUCCCACUUCAGGCUGUGGCAGGUGGAAGCCACCCAAGAUCAUUUUUGGUACCAAAAGACUUGUAAACCCUGGGAAAUGGGUGCUCUAUUAGACCUGGAAAGAUGACUUCCCUGACCACCAUCCACUUCCAAAUGAAAGCGAACUGACCAAGUCCUGCUGAGCCCUGGACAGCAGCGACACUGCAGGGAGCCACUAGCUGGGUUCACCUGUCCAGGAUUAAACCUGCCUCCACUGAUAUGUUACAGGAAUCCAAAGACUCACGUUAAACUCUUCUGUGAAUUCCCCACUUCCCCUGAGACCCCACGGGACAUGGAGGACCCUGGACAACCUGAAAACUCCAGGUGGAUUUUUUGAGUGAGCCUCUCCAAGACUUAAAGCUCUUGUUCAGGAAGGAUAAAUAGGGACUUCCCUGGUGGUCCAGUGGUUA
Molecule: long non-coding RNA, 1568 nt
Organism: Bos taurus (domestic cattle)
Lineage: Eukaryota; Metazoa; Chordata; Mammalia; Artiodactyla; Bovidae
Source: Ensembl